UUACGGCCAUACCAGCCUAUACGCCCGAUCUCGUCCGAUCUCAGAAGCCAAGCAAGGUCGGGCCUGGUCAGUACCUGGAUGGGAGACUGCCUGGGAAUCCCAGGUGCUGUAAGCCUUUU
RNAcentral lists this ribosomal RNA (119 nucleotides) under Omophoita sexnotata. The record is from RNAcentral. Lineage: Eukaryota; Metazoa; Arthropoda; Insecta; Coleoptera; Chrysomelidae.